CCUACGGGUGACAGCAGUCGAGAAUCAUUCACAAUGGGGGAAACCCUGAUGGUGCGACGCCGCGUGGGGGAAUGAAGGUCUUCGGAUUGUAAACCCCUGUCAUGUGGGAGCAAAUUAAAAAGAUAGUACCACAAGAGGAAGAGACGGCUAACUCUGUGCCAGCAGCCGCGGUAAUACAGAGGUCUCAAGCGUUGUUCGGAAUCACUGGGCGUAAAGCGUGCGUAGGCUGUGUCGUAAGUCGUGUGUGAAAGGGGCGGGCUCAACCCGCGGACGCCACAUGACACUGCGAGACUAGAGUAAUGGAGGGGGAACCGGAAUUCUCGGUGUAGCAGUGAAAUGCGUAGAUAUCGAGAGGAACACUCGUGGCGAAGGCGGGUUCCUGGACAUUAACUGACGCUGAGGCACGAAGGCCAGGGGAGCGAAAGGGAUUAGAUACCCCUGUAGUC
Molecule: ribosomal RNA, 446 nt
Filed under: uncultured bacterium
Lineage: Bacteria
Description: partial 16S ribosomal RNA
Rfam family: Bacterial small subunit ribosomal RNA
Source: RNAcentral